AAAGUGAGACACAAGAAUCCGCUAUUUCAAUGGGUGACGUAUUUCGGGAUAUAGAUAAUACUAAAUAUACCAAGGACUCCACAAGUUAUAAUGAUAAAGCACGCACAAACUCAAAACGGAAAGUAAACUUUCUAAACGACGAAGUAGAUAUUGUCAAACAAGAUGUGAAAAGAGUUUACGACGGAGAUAGACAUUGGAGAUAUAUGGCAAAAUCAGAACAACGACGAA
Molecule: long non-coding RNA, 228 nt
Organism: Ruditapes philippinarum (Manila clam)
Lineage: Eukaryota; Metazoa; Mollusca; Bivalvia; Venerida; Veneridae
Exons: 3
Source: RefSeq, a predicted model, not a curated record